RNAcentral lists this unclassified non-coding RNA (513 nucleotides) under Leishmania donovani. Its description in RNAcentral is "gene:unknown". The record is from RNAcentral. Lineage: Eukaryota; Euglenozoa; Kinetoplastea; Trypanosomatida; Trypanosomatidae.
UUGCGUGUCCUUACGCAGAGCAGAGAGCUACACCAACAGCCCUGCACUGCACUGCACUAUAUGCAUGUGUGUGUGUGUGUGUGUGUGUUCAUCUGCCUCACAACGAAACCUCACUUUUCUCUGCUGCGGUUGCUGCACUGCUUCUCAUUCCUCUUCGCCGCUGUUGUCGGCGCUGCAUCCGUCGUUGUCCUCCACGUGGAGGCGGUAGCUGCAGGCCAACGCGGCGGAGCGGCCAACUUGGCGUGUGUGCACUCGCGUGAAGAGCGAUCAAAGGGCGCCUUCGCGGGUGCUGAAGCCGAUUCGCCUGCCUCGUAGAAGCACUCGGGAGGGCGGCAUCGGUCACCAUCACCACCAUCGCGCAAGCGGACAAUAGCCUAGCCUGCGUGGACGAUCAACACGCAUCAGAUCGGUACACAAGCAGCGCUGCCGCUUGCGUUGGAGUUUACGGCUGUUGCUGCUUCACGGCAUCCUCGCUCAGCUCCCCAUCCCCCCCCCUCGUGCUUCUCUUCUCAG